Molecule: transfer RNA, 72 nt
Filed under: Candidatus Pacearchaeota archaeon
Lineage: Archaea; Nanobdellati
Description: tRNA-Arg
Rfam family: tRNA
About the family: Transfer RNA (tRNA) molecules are approximately 80 nucleotides in length. Their secondary structure includes four short double-helical elements and three loops (D, anti-codon, and T loops).
Source: RNAcentral
GAGCCCGUAGUUUAAUGGACAGAAUGCAAGGUUUCGGCCCUUGCGAUCGGGGUUCGAUUCCUCGCGGGCUCG